This 6705-nucleotide long non-coding RNA is filed under the name Homo sapiens (human). RNAcentral's name for it is "HSALNT0080502". Lineage: Eukaryota; Metazoa; Chordata; Mammalia; Primates; Hominidae. The record is from RNAcentral.
GCAAAAGUAAAAUGCCCCAAGGGAUGAAGAAAUUAUGAUAUGUAAAUGUAUAGAAAUGAUUUGUAGAAAUUACAAAUUGGUGUUUAAAAUCAUUUAAUGAUAAUGAAAAUGGUUAAUGGUAAAUUAUAUAGUCAAUGAGUAAUUCAGAGUCUGAUAUAUUUUCCAAACACAAAAAUCUUGAACAGCAUUAUAACCAAUAUUUAUCUCUAUUGUGUGAUUUUAAAGACAUCUUCAUUAUCUUCUUUAUAAUUUUCAUAUUGUCCAACUUUUCAAUAAUCAAUAUGUAUGAUUUUACAAUCAGGAGAAAUAAAGCAGUCACUGAUUUUUCUAAAAAUUUAUAAAAUGGAAAAUGUAAAACAGCAUUACCUCCAUCGAGUUUUACUCUCUGAAAAAUAUUAAUUUAUCCUUAGACUAUGUAAUUUAAAAAACAUAAUAAAAUAGAAACAAGUAAAUUUCAUUUGGAUGCAAGGAAAAGUAUUCUUGUUAAUGAUAAAACAAUGUCAUCCACUAAAAUAACAAGGUUAAGGACUUAGAGGUAUCAAAUGGCCAGACAGAUAUAGAUAAUUUCUGAAUGAUAACUCACAGCUUUGGUUACUUUUCUUUGGUAAACAUGAUCAUAGGCACAAAGGUUCUGGUGAUUCGUGUGCUUUUUUUUUUUAAUGAGUUUGUAUUUUAGACUUUGUAGGUUGCUUUUCAUACAUUAUCUCUUAAACUGUGAGAAAGGUAUUUUUACCAUUGAUAGAGGCAGGAGACAGGCAAAUGCCUAGGAAAUAGGGAAGGGCCCCCGGGAGAACCUCUGACCUGCUCCGCAAGUAUUCACACCAGAUGUUUUUGUGCAGAUAAAGGAACCAGUGCAGGGUCUUGCCUGGGCAUGCCCACAAUGAACCGGAGGCGAACAUGCACUGGAGGAAUGGGGUAGAGCCACCAGGAAUUUGUGCUGUAUACUGGGGAGGAGCCUGGCCUCAUCAACUCCUGUGUGGUGGCCUGGAAUUCAAUUUGUGAGGUGGAAACCUGAGUGCAGGACUGCUCUUUUUGUUGAGAGCUUUCCUUUUGCUUAAUAAAUUCUGGGCCGGGCACUUUGGCUCACACCUGUAAUCCUAGCACUUUGGGAAGCCAAGGCUGGCGGAUCACCUGAGGUCUGUUAGGUCCAUUUGUUCCAAGGUGUAGUUUAAAUCUAUUGUUUUUUUUUUUUGACUUUCUGUCUUGAUAAACUGUUUAGUGCUUGGAGCCUUUGUUCAUAUUUUCUUAUUCUUUUUUCUUUUCUUUCUUGUAUUGGGUUAGUUCGAAGUCCUUGUCUUCAAACUCUGAAUUUCUUCUACUUGUUCAAUUCUAUUGCUGAGACUUUCCAGAGCAUUUUGCAUUUCUAAAAGUGUGUCCACAGUGUCCUGAAUUUUUUAUUGUUUUUUUUCUUCAAACUAUCUAUUUCCAUGAAUAUUUCUCCCUUCACUUCUUGUAUAAUUUUUUGGAUUUCCUUGCAUUGGGCUUUGCCUUUCUCUAGCCCCUCCCUGAUUAGCUUAAUAACUAAGCUUUGAAUACUUUUUCAGGUAAAUCAGGGAUUUCUUCUUAGUUUGGAUCCAUUGCUGGUGAACCAGUGUGAUUUUUGGGGGGUACUGAAAAGGCUUGUUUUGUCAUAUUACCAGGGUUGUUUUUCUGGUUCUUUUUUGAGGGAGGAGAGAGACCCUCUCAUAUUGUUUUAUAUUGUUUUAUACUCAGUACCUGUUUUAAGAAAAACAACAAGGAAGUAAAACCAAAGACAGGCAGCCUGGCACCAGGCCUGAAACCAGGCCUGGGCCUGCCUCGCCUAAAUCCAGUAGUUAAAAAUCAAUUCAUAACUUAGAAACCGAUGUUAUUCAUAGAUUCCAGACAUUGUAUAGAAGAGCAUUGUGAAACUCCCUGCCCUGUUCUGUUUCUCUCUGACCACCCGUGCAUGCAGCCCCUGUCACGUACCGCCUGCUUGCUCAAAUCAAUCACGACCCUUUCAUGUGAAAUCUUUAGUGUUGUGAGCCCUUAAGAGGGACAGAAAUUGAGCAUUCGGGGAGCGCGGAUUUUGAGGCAGUAGCUUGCCGAUGCUCCCAGGUGAAUAAAGCCCUUCCUUCCAUAACUCGGUGCCUGAGAGGUUUUGUCUGCAGCUCGUCCUGCUACAUUCUCAUUUGGUCUCUCUUCAGAAUCAGAAUAAACUAGGAUUUCAUUGAACAGAAAGCCAGCAUGAAAGUGAUAUGUGGAACUCUUUUUUUUCUAAAGAGCCAGCAUAAAACCAAACAUUACAAGACACACAAAGAAGCAAAGAAAUGUGACUCACAUUCAAGAAAGGAUGCAAGCCCAGAUAUUUCCUAGAUAUUGGAAACAUCUGACAAGGACUUCAAAAUAACUAUGGCAAUUAUGUUAAAUAAAGUAUGUAAAAACACAGGAGAAAAUGGGAACUUUUAGUACAUAUAUAAUCAUGAUAAAAAAAAACCCAAAUGCAAAUGUUAGAAAUAAAGAAUGAGCCAUCAGAAAUAAAACAUUCAUCAGACGGGCUUACAUUUGACAAUAUCAAGUAAUAGCCAUUAUUUAUGAUGAUAUAAUACAAAAUAUAUUAUUAUAGUCACAAAAAAGGGACAAGCAAAAAGACCUAGUGCCUGAGAAUUUUCAAAAAUUGAAGAAAGAUAUCAAACCAUAGAUUUUGGAAGCUUAGCAAACCUCAGUGAGGAUACAUUAGCAAUAGCAACAACAAAACACAAAAAUCUAUCAGAGUGAAGAAGUAAAAAAACAAAAUAGGAGAAUGCUACCAACUUUCUUGGGUUAUUAUUUGACUACCCAGCUUUUAAUAUUCUUAAGUUUUAAUUUUAUGUCUUGUAAACAUUAAAUACUUAAGUUUCUUUUUCCAAAUCAGAAACUACAGGUUGGCAAACUACCCUAAACCUGGCCUGCCUGCAAUUUCUUAUGUGUGUGAGCAUGAAAUGGUCUUCACAUUUUUAAAUGGGUGAAAAUAUCAAAAGAAGAAUAAGAUUUUAUGACAUAUGCAUUUGGAAUCAAAUUUUAGGGUUCAUAAAUACAGGUUUAUUGGAAGGCAGUUUUCAUGCACGUCCCUGUGAAGAGACCACCAAACAGGCUUUGUGUGAGCAAUAAAGCUUUUAAUCACCUGGGUGCAGGCAGGCUGAGUCUGAAAAGAGAGUCAGUGAAGGGAGAUAAGGGUGGGGCUGUUUUAUAGGAUUUGGGUAGGUAAAGGAAAAAGGGGGGUUGUUCUCUGGCAGGCAGGAGUGGGGGUCACAAGGUACUCAGUGGGGGAGCUUUUGAGCCAGGAUGAGCCAGCAGAAGGAAUUCACAAGACAGUGUCAUCAGUUAAGGCAGGAACAGGCAUUUUCACUUCUUUUGUGGUGGAAUGUCAUCAGUUAAGGCAGGAACCGGCCAUCUGGAUGUGUACCUGCAGGUCACAGGGGAUAUGAUGGCUUAGCUUGGGCUCAGAGGCCUGAAAUUCCUGUCUUCUUAUAUUAAUAAGAAAAAUAAAAUGAAAUAGUGGUAACGUGUUGGGACGGCAAAAAUUUUUGGGGAUGGUAUGGAGAGAUAAUGGGAGAUGUUUCUCAGGGCUGCUUCUAGCAGGAUUAGGGGCGGUGUGGGAACCUAGAGUGGGAGAGAUUAAGCUGAAGGAAGAUUUUGUGGUAAGGGGUGAUAUUGUGGGGUUGUUAGAAGAAACAUUUGUCAUUUAGAAUUAUUGGUGAUGGCCUGGAUAUGGUUUUGUAUGAAUUGAAAAACUAAACAGAAUAAGAGAAGGAGAAAAACAGGUAUUAAAGGACUAAGAAUUGGGAGAACCUAGGACAUCUAAUUAGAGAGUGCCUAAGGAGGUUCGGCAUAGCCUUGCCAGCAAAGAUUAUUUAUUUACUUUAAGAGUUAAGAGUGGGAGUUUGGGGAUAGCACCAGGAGAUAUCAGCUGUGAUGGCUUGGAGAAACAGUGUAAACCGGCAGUGUAAACAAGAGCAGGGCAUGUAUGAGUAGUUGAGAAUGGUGAAUAGGAGUAUGACUAGACAGAAGACAGUAGGGAUGACAAGUUUUGGGGGCACAGUCUAAGUUGGUCUGGUGUCUGGAAUGAGACUGGGGCCUAAUAAAAAGGAGCAUCUAUACGGGAGCUUAAAUGGGCUGUACUUUGUAGCAUUCCGAGGACAGGUCUGAAUUCUGAGAAGGGAAAGUGGUAAAAGUAUUGUCUAUUCCUUUUUAAGUUGGUGGCUGAGCUUGGUGAGGUGUGUUUUUAAAAGACCUUUAGUCUGUUCUACUUUUCCUGAAGACUGAGGACUGUAAGGGAUAUAAAGGUUUCACUGAAUACUAAGAGCCUGAAAAACUGCUUGGCUGAUUUGACUAAUAAAGGCUGGUCUGUUAUCAGACUGUAUAGAGGUGGGAAGGCUAAACUGAGGAAUUAUUUCUGACAGAAGGGAAGAAAUGACUGCGGUGGCCUUCUCAGACCCUGUAGGAAAGGCCUCUACCUAACUAGUGAAAGUGUCUACCCAGACUAAGAGGUAUUUUAGUUUUUGUGACUCGGGGCAUGUUGAGUAAAGCUAAUUUGCCAGUCCUGGGCGGGGGCAAAUCCUUGAGCUUGAUGUGUAGGGAAGGGGGGAGGGGGCCUGAAUAAUCCUUGAGGAGUAGUAGAAUAGCAGAUGGAAUACUAAAAAUUUAUUUCCCUGAGGAUAGAUUUCCGCGAUGGAAAAGAAAUGAGAGGUUUUAAGAGGCGGGCUAGUGGCUUGUACUGUAGCAUAGCCUGCCUUUGCUGGUGUGUGGCAAUUAGGCCUGGUGGAACUGCCAUCAAUAAACCAAGUGUGUUCAGGGUGAGAAACAGUGAAGAAGGAAAUGUGGGGAAGUGGGGUGAAUGUCAGGUGGAUCAGAGAGAUGCAGUCAUGAGGGUCAGGUGUGGUAUCAGGAAUAAUGUGGGAGGCCGGAUUGAAGUCCGAGCCAGGAACAAUGGUAACUGUGGGAGACUCAACAAAGAGUGAGUACAGCUGAAGGAGCCGGGGAGCAGAAAGUAUAUGCAUCAGGUGUGAGGAAGAAAAUAGAUUCUGGAAAUUAUGAGAGCUGUAGAGAGUGCAUUGAGCAUAGUUUGUGAUUUUAAGGGCCUCUAAAAUAUUAGGGUGGUAGCAGCCGCUGCAUGGAGACAUGAUGGCCAGCCUAAAACAGUAAGGUCAAGUUGUUUGGACAAAAAGGCUACAGGACGCGAUCCUCAUCCUUGUGUAAGAAUUCUUACUGCACAGCCCUGCACUUCAGCUGUGUGUAAUGAAAAGGGUUAGGAUGAGUCAGGGAGAGCUAUAGUGGGGGCAGUUUCUAAAGCUGUCUUCAAGGAAUGGAAAGAGGAGUGGGGGAAAGGAUUUAGUAUCUAUGGGGUCGGCUAGGUUUCCUUUUGUGAGUUUAUAUAAUGGUUUUGUUAGGAUGGCAAAACCAGGUAUCUAAAUGUGAAAGUAUCUAACCAUACCCAGGAAGGAAAGGAGUUGUUGUUUUGUAGAAUGGAUUGGGGUUUGAGAGACUAGUUGGACACGAUCGGCAGGGAGCGCACGUGUGUUUUUAUGAGAAUUAUGCUGAGAUAGCUAACAGAUGAGGAAGAAAUUUGGGCUUGACUGAAGUAAUGGGGGCUGUCUGUGAAGCUUUGUGGCAGUACAGCCCAGGUAAUUUGCUGAGCCUGAUGGGUGUCAGGGUCAAUCCAAGUGAAAGCGAAGAUAGGCUGUGAUGAAGGGUGCAAAGGAAUAGUAAAGAAAGCAUGUUUGAGAUCCAGAACAGAAUAAUGGAUUGUGGAGGGAGGUAUUAAGGAUUGAAAGGCCAUGCUGUAGCAGGCAAGUGAUAACAGGCUUUAAUCCUUUCAAAGCAUGCUGUGGGAUGGGAUAUUGGCAUUGAGUGGGGUAAGGGUGAUUAGGCUUUAAUGAGAUGGUAAGGGGUGCAUGAUCGGUCACCAAGGAGGGAGUAGAGGUAUCUUAUACUUGUGGGUUAAGGUUGGGGGAUACAAGAGGAGGAUGCAAAGGAGGCUUUGGAUUGGGAAGAAGGGCUUCAAUGAGAUGUAGCUGUAAUCCAGGAAUAGUUAGGGAAGCAGAUAAUUUAGUUAAGGUGUCUCGGCAUAAUAAGGGAACUGGGCAGGUGCGGAUAACUAAAAGGAGUGCUUAAAAGAGUAUUGUCUAAGUUGGCACCAGAGUUGGGGAGUUUUAAGAAGUUUAGAAGCCUGGCUGUCAAUACCCACAAACAGUUAUGGAGGCAAGGGAAACAGGCCCUUGAAAAGAAGGUAAUGUGGAGUGGGUAGCCUCCGUAUUGCUUAAGAAGGGGACGGACUUACCUUCCACUGUGAGAGUUACCUGAAGCUCGGCGUCUGUGAUGGUCUAGGGGGCUUCUGAGGUGAUCAGGCAGCGUCAGUCUUUAGCUGCUAAGCCGAGAAGGUCUGGGAAGGAGUCAGUCAGAGAGCCUUGGGCCAGAGUUCCAGCAUCUCUGGGAGUGGCUGCCAGUCUGCUCAGCCUGGUUAAGAACUCUUUUUGGAGAACUGGUGGAGUCAUUUGGAGGACAUAAGACACUCUGGCCAUAGCAGCGGUACUAUGCUGGGGGUCUGCUCCAGUCCCUGGUCAUCCCGGACUCUCCAAAGCCCAAAGGCUGGAAUGGCUAAGUCACCCAAACAGAAAAUAUAGUGGCCCACCCCUCUUUCUGGGAGCUCUGUUUCAGAGAGGUGUAAUGCUGCUGUUGGUGGAAGGUUGGAGCUCCAAGCCAGCAGAU